Molecule: ribosomal RNA, 305 nt
Filed under: uncultured bacterium
Lineage: Bacteria
Description: bacterial SSU rRNA
Rfam family: Bacterial small subunit ribosomal RNA
Source: RNAcentral
UUGGGCCUACGGGGGGCAGCAGUGGGGAAUAUUGCACAAUGGGGGAAACCCUGAUGCAGCGACGCCGCGUGAGUGAGGAAGUAUUUCGGUAUGUAAAGCUCUAUCAGCAGGGAAGAAAAUGACGGUACCUGACUAAGAAGCCCCGGCUAACUACGUGCCAGCAGCCGCGGUAAUACGUAGGGGGCAAGCGUUAUCCGGAUUUACUGGGUGUAAAGGGAGCGUAGACGGAGGAGCAAGUCUGGAGUGAAAGGCGGGGGCCCAACCCCCGGACUGCUCUGGAAACUGUAUGGCUGGAGUGCCGGAGG